GUGGGUUGAGCCAUUACCACAAUUUACAAAGGAAAUUGGAGAGUCGCCCAAGUACAGAGGAUUCCUGUUUGAAGAAUAUCAUCAGUUGAGAUUCAGAAACAGGAGUCAUCCACCAGCUAGACCUGAAGAUCUCAUCCAUAUAACACACUACUCAAUUUCUAAUUAGAGGACAAGUUUUAUCUAAUGAAAAGUUCUCUCUAUAUGGAAAGAAACAUACCAAUAAUAUGUAUUACGUCACUCCUAAUAUGUAUGUCGAAGUGUGUGACCACCUCAUUUAUAAUUUAAAUGAGCACAUGACAUUUAUUUUCUAAAUUAUGUUAAACACGUCUUUCACCGUACAAGUCUGAUUCAUUGAAGAGGAAUCUUCAAUUUAUAUCUAUGUGUCUUGCUGCUGCUUGUUGUUACUGAUUCAAAACUGCAGAUCUUGUUUCUCUCUUUGCUUUUUUCUUUUCCGAAUAACGUCAAGUACUACUCCGUCAUAUUGUUUACUUUUGUUGACAAUGCAUCUGUUUUAUAAAAUCUAACUCCCUAUUAAAGCUAUAUGGAAUCCAGAUUAUUGAGAUUUUCUUCUGAACAAAUCCUUGAUACUGCUAAAAAAAUACUUCAGAUCGACAAGUGAGAAAGAGUACUAAUUUAGAUUAAUCUGUAAAUUAUAAUAGUAAAAUGAGGUGAAAUCACGUGAAGUUGAUAAAUUGAAGGAUCCAUGUGACGUGGUUACGUCCCUUUUUCUAUGGGGAGUUAAAUUAUUUGAGUUAAUUAAUAUGUAACUAUACUUAUCCUUUUUAAUAAUGGAAAUCAAUUUUUUGUGUGUAAUCUUGUACUAAUAAGAUUUGUCUUAGCAAUAUUGAAUGUUGUAAGUAAUAAGGUUCUUUAAAAGUCAACAUGGAUAAUUCACUGAUGCCAAUAAUUGAUCUCUCCCCGUUCUUUCUAGGAGAUGAUGAUGGCGAGAGAAAGACAAGCCAAGAAAAUAACAUUUUAAUCACACCAAAUAAUGAAGGAAUCCAUUGUGUAAGAAUGACUUAUUUUUUGGGGUUAAACAAGGAUUUCAAUAGAUUAAAGGAGAAAGAAAAAACAUAAGUUCAUUACAGGGGUUGAGGGGCAUUCCCCACAGGAAAAGUAUUGGCCGUUAGUAUUGCCGUUUUAGUAUAAAAUUGUUCUAACAAAAAAAGUUCUCAAUAUGUCUGCUUGUAACGUUACUAAGGCGCACACAGGGGAACUUCAAAAAUAAUAAUGGGGUCCCCAAAGCUUCAUCCCUAACCUAAGAAGACUUUCAAGAUGAAUAGCAUUAAAGAGCCUUUUUUUAGGUAAGAAUUUAAUUUUGGGAGAAAUAUAAAGAAAGGAGAAGCAUAAUGGUUUUUUAAAAUUUUUGUUUAUUAACUAUGGGGUUUAUGUUUAUAAGAUGACAUAAAAAAUAAUUUAUUUUGUCAUGUCAAAUUUAUGUUAAUAAUAUUCAAUGACGAUUGAUAUCUACUUAAGAUAGAGAGUCCCACUAUGCCCAAGACUAUGAGGUUCUUAGCUCCACUUAAUUUCUUCCUUGUAAAUAUCAUUUUCUGUACCACAUUUUGUAAGAUCAGAAAAUGCUUAUAAAUUAAACUCAAAAGAAAAUCCAAAUAUAAGACUAAGAAGAGUGAAGAGAAUUAAGAAAAAUAUCAUGGCUAGUUUUGAUAUUCCAACAAUUGAUGUUUCUCCAUUUUUUAGAUCAGAUGAAAAUGGAGAAGGGAAAACGAAGGCUAUUGAGCAAAUUAGAGAAGCUUGUGUUAACUUUGGUUUCUUCCAAAUUGUGAAUCAUGGAAUUCCUUUGGAGUUGUUGAGCCAAACCAUGGAUAUGUAUAAGAAUUUCUUUGCUUGUUCUGAUGAAGAAAAACUCGCGGUACCUUCUGAUAAUUAUUUAAAAAGCACAAAGAAUUCAGUUGAGAACUUGGUGUUUCGUUUUCCAUUCUCUGUCGUGGAUGUCUGCCCCAACAAACUACCUCAUUUCAAGUACUAAUAUAUUCUCUCUUGAUUGCAACUCAAAUUAGUUGUUUCUAGUUUUUUGCAUUUUCAGAAUGUUGCCUAAUAAAUAUGUUUUGAUAUUGUUAGGCAAGUAUUGGAUGAUAUGAUUUCCCAGUUCACAAAAUUAGGAGUUGUGUUGGAAGGAAUCAUAAGUGAGUGUCUUGGCCUCCCUCCUGACUUCCUACCAAACUACAGAAAUGAUCGGUCUGGGGAUUCGUUGCUCGGACUCCACUAUUUACCAGUGAUGACAACAUUGGAAAACCUCCACAUGAAGAUCUUGGCUUCUUCACCAUUCUCUACCAGGAUGAAGUUAAAGGCCUUGAGGUGCUUAAAGAUGACCACUGGAUUCCCAUAGCGCCUUCCAAACACAAACUAAUUGUUAACAUUGGUGAUGUCAUUCAGGUACUUAUAACUCCACUCUUGGUUGGUUAUAGAUUUCACAUUUACCACUAUCCCAAAAUUUUAACUUUUUUUUUUUUUUAAUGUUAUUGACAUAAAUAAAAAAGGUCCUAAGCAACAAUAAAUUCAAGAGUGCAACUCACAGAGCAGUGAGCCCAAGUGAAACAGACCGUUACUCGUACGCGUUCUUCUAUAAUGUGCAAGGAGCCAAGUGGGUUGAGCCAUUACCACAAUUUACAGAGGAAAUUGGAGAGUCGCCAAAGUACAGAGGAUUCCUGUUUGAAGAAUAUCAUCAGCUGAGAAUCAAAAACAGGAGUAAUCCACCAGAUAGACCUGAAGAUCUCAUCCAUAUAACCCACUACUCAAUUUCUAAUUAGAGGACAAGUUUUAUCUAAUGAAAAGUUCUCUCUAUAUGGAAAGAAACAUAGCAAUAAUAUGUAUGUUGAAUAUGUAUCGUGACCAUCUCAAUUAAAAAUUUAAAUUGUUAGGCAGCACAUGACUGUUAUUUCUUAAUUAUGUUUAACACGUCUUUUCAAUUUAUAUCUAUCUGUGCUACAGCUGUUUGUCGUUACUAAUUUAAAAUACUCAAAUUGCAGAUACUGCGAUCUUGUUUCUUUCUUUUCCGAAUAACGUCAAGUACUACUCCUUCAUAUUGUUUACUCUAGUUUGUCCCUUUCCAUGGUUCUGCAAAGGGAGUUAAAUUAUUUGAUAUGAUUAAUAUUUAACCAUACUUAUGUGUAAUCUUGUGCUAAUAAGAUUUAGGUAUAUUACAUAAACAUGACCUUUGACUUGACGUCAGCGGACAACUAUUACCUUUAACUUUGGGUGUACACAAGUAGACACUUAAACUUUUCUUAUAAAAUUGACAAAUAAACACAUUCGUCCUACAUGGCACCCUACAUGGCAAUUUUUGUGUCCAACGUGACGGCCUACGUGUAUUAUGUCACGUAGGACACAUGUGUCUACUUGUUCUAUUUUGUAGUUUAAGUGUCUAUUUGUGCACACUCAAAGUUGGAGGGCAUAGUUGUCCGCUGAAGCCAAGUUAAGGGUCGUGUUUAUGUAUUAUGCCUAAGAUUUAUCUUAGCCAUCUCACAAAACCAAAUUAUUGAUUGAUUUUUAUCAACAUCUUGGUUGCACGAGUACUAUUGCAAGUCCACAUGGCUAUUUUUUAAGUCAAUCCAAACGGACUCUAAAUCAUCUACUAUAUAAGUAAAAAGACACCAUAAAUGAACAUAUAAUCUAUAAAACUUAAUAAAUAAUUAGCCUAUAAUAAAUACUAUAUCCAAACGCAUGGUUAAUAGUAUAUAUCUCAACACCUCUGAUCUAGUGUACUUUGCCCAUGUUCAGUGGUUCGCUGACACCGUUGUUUAAUUUUAGGCAUCCUAUAUAUGUGGCAAUUCACAUCCUACAUGGCGUUCUAUAUGUGUAAUAUGCCACAUAGGAUGAACGUGUAUUCUUGUUUAAUUUUUUAAUUAGUUUAAGUGUCUACCUGUGUACAUUCAAAGUUGGACAGUUAUCAACCGAAGCUAAAUUAAAAGACACAUUUGUGUAUUAUGCCUUUUAAAUUUAUGUCAGAGCUUUCCAGAAAUUCAAGUAUUAUUUAUAUGGCCAUAUGGGGCAGAACAGAAAUGAUUAGGGGCUAAUUAAUUUUAAAUUCUUCUUAACUAUUUUAUUUGAGUGAAUAAUUGAUACUUGUCUAUUGAGAGUGGAGAAAAUUAAGGAAGACAUGAUAGCUAGUUUUGAUAUUCCAACAAUUGAUGUUUCUCCGUUUUAUAGAUCAGAGGGAAAUGAAGAAGGGAAAAAGAAGGCUUUUGAGCAAAUGAAAGAAGCUUGUAUUAACUAUGGUUUCUUCCAGAUUGCGAAUCACGAAAUUCCUUUGGAGUUGUUGAGCAGAACGAUGGAUAUGUAUAAGACUUUUUUUGCUUCUUCAGAUGAAGAAAAACUGUUGGUACCUAAUAAUUAUUUCAAAAGCACACAGAAUCCAGCUGAGACUUAUGAGCAUUUUGUGUUUCGUCUUUCAUCCUCUGUCGUCAAUGUCUGCCCCAAAAAUCCACCUCAUUUCAAGUAAUUCUUUAUUUUAUUUACGGUAUAUUGUAUCUGAAAUUGCAGUUGUUUGUGAAAUAAAUAUGUUUUUUUGCCUUAGGGAAUUAUUGGAGGAGAUGGCUUCGCAUUUCAAAAAAUUAGGAGUUGUGUUGGAAGGAAUCAUAAGUGAGUGUGUGGGGCUCCCUCCUAACUUCCUAACAAACUAUAAAAAUGAUGAGUCUCGGGAUACCUUGAUCGGCCUCCACUACUUUCCAGCUACAGAAAACGACAACACAGGAAAAACUGCACACGAAGAUCCUGGCUGCUUCACCGUUGUCUACCAGGAUGAAAUCGGAGGCCUUGAGGUGCACAAAGAUGACCAGUGGAUACCCAUAGCGCCUUCCAAAGACAAACUAGUUGUUAACAUUGGAGAUGUUAUUCAGGUAAUUAUUGUUCCGCACCGCUGCUCACAGUUAUCAUCCAAAAAUUUGAAGAAUCUUUUCUUUUAUGUCGAAGGUGCUAAGCAACAAUAGAUUCAAGAGUGCAACUCACAGAGUGGUGAGACCAAGAGAAGCAAACCGUUACUCGUGCACUUUCUUCUAUAACGUGCAAGGAGACAAGUGGGUUGAGCCAUUACCACAGUUUACAGAGGAAAUUGGAGAGUCGCCCAAGUACAGAGGAUUCCUCUUCGGAGAAUAUAUGCAGUUGAGAAUCAAAAACAUGACUCAUCCACCAGCUAGACCUCAAGAUCUCAUCCAUAUAACACACUACUCAAUUUCUAUGUCAUGAAAUGUUUUCUCUUUAUAUGGCAAGAAACAUAGCAAGAAAAAUAAUAUGUGUAUGCAGUUGUUGUUUUCUUUCUUUCUUUCUUUUUUUCUUUUCCGAAUAACGUCAACUACUCCUUUCAUAUUGUUUACUCUUGUUAAAAUUUUAAAUUGUUAAAGAGCAUACAAUUAUUUUAUUAAUUAUGUUAAACACGUACAAGCCUGAUUCAUAGAAUCCUCUAUGUGUCUUGCUGCUGUCAAUUUGAAAUACUGCACAUCUUAUUUCUUCUCCGAAUAACACGUCGGUCAAGUACUACUCCUUCAUAUUGUUUACUUUAGUUUGUCCCUUUCUAUGGUUCGGCAAAGGGAGUUAAAUUAUUUGAUUGGAUUAGUCCUUAACCAUAUUUAGUGGCGGUAGAGAAGAUUAGGAAAGUGACACUUUACGAAACCCUAAGCUUAAGGAAAGUUUUAUAGGGAAGGAAUUCGGGAACUUGCCCGAAAUGGGCCCUAUCUUGUUUAUAUGCUUAUUUGUUAAUUGGAUUUGGACAUUAGGUCCAAAUGAGUGAUGUAAUUGUUCUCUUUCAUAUCAAUAAAGCUGAAAAAUUUAAACUAAAAUAAAAUAAUAAAAAUACUAGGUAUCUCCCCUUUCUUUCUAAGAUUAAGAGAUGAAAACUAUGAGAGAAUUGAUAAACGAAGCAUGUUGUCGAUAUGGAUUUGACUAUUUUUACCAAAUUAUCAAUUAAUAUCGUCAUACAGUUUAAGAAGAAGACGGGAGGUGAGAGGCAUUAAUUUAAAAAAUAAUAAUUUAUUCUUUUGUUAAAUUUAAUUAGAGUUUUUUAAAAAUUGGAUCCAAGCGCUUCAUGUUAUCAUUUCAUUGGUCCACCUGCUAUGUGUACACAAUUUAUUAUUUUAUGUCUAAUAGAUAUAAACUUUUUAAGAUUAAAGUGGUAAAUGAAAUAUUAAGGGCACAUAUGACUUAAUUUUUGAGUUUUUUAAAAAAUUAUGACAAAGCUAGCAAUCCAGAAACAGAAAAUCAAUAGUUGACUUCAGUUUUGCUUUAUAAAGAGGUUAAGAACAUCAUUGAGAGUCAAGAGAAUCAACAUGGCUAAUUUUGAUAUUCCAACAAUUGAUGUUUCUCCAUUUAUUAGAUCAGAGGAAAAUGAAGAAGGGAAAAAGAAGUCUAUUGAACAAAUGAGAGAAGCUUGUGUUAACUAUGGUUUCUUCCAAAUUGCGAAUCACGGAAUUCCUUUGGAGUUGUUGAGCAGAAUCAUGGAUAUGUACAAGACUUUCUUUGCUUCUUCAGAUGAAGAAAAACUAUCGGUACCUUCUGAUACUUAUUUCAAAAGCACAAAGAAAUCAGCUGGGACUUAUGAGCAGCUAUUGUUUCAUCUUUCAUCCUCCGGCUUCAAUGUCUGCCCCGAAAAUCCACCUCAUUUCAAGUAAUAUUUUACUAAUUUAUUUCCGUUUAUAGCCCUAUUCUCUUUUGAUUGGAAAUUGUUUCUAGUUUAAGUGAUUCCCUGUUAUGGUGAUUUCACUUAAAUGAUAAGGUAGGAAUGUUGUUUGUGAAAUAAAUAUGUUUUGAUAUUCUUAGGCAAGUAUUGGAGGAGAUGGCUUCGCAUUUCACAAAAUUAGGAUUUGUAUUGGGGAGAAUCAUAAGUGAGUGUCUGGGCCUCCCUCCUAACUUCCUAGCAAACUACAGAAAUGAUCAGGCUAGGGAUUUCUUGCUCGGCAUCCACUACAGUCCAGCGACAGAAGCUGAGAACGUAGGAAAAUCCGCACACAAAGAUCCUGGCUGCAUCACCAUUCUCUACCAGGCUGAAGUCGGAGGUCUUCAGGUUCACAAAGAUGAACAGUGGAUUCCCAUAGCGCCUUCGAAAGACAAACUAGUAGUUAAUAUUGGUGAUGUCAUUCAGGUAAUUAUAGUUUGGUUAUUCCAAGAGUUUGAUGUCACAGUUAUCAUUUUCCCAAAAUUUUCGAGGAGUCAACAUUUUUAUUUUGUGUUGACAUAUUAAAAAGGUGCUAAGCAACAAUAAAUUCAAGAGUGCAUCGCACAGGGUGAUCAGACCAAGAGAAACAAACCGUUACUCGUGUGCUUUCUUCUAUAACGUGCAAGGAGACAAGUGGGUUGAGCCAUUACCACAAUGCACCAAGGAAAUUGGAGAAUCGCCCAAGUACAGAGGAUUCCUCUUUAAAGAAUAUGUGCAGUUGAGACAGAGAGACGAGACUCAUCCACCAGCUAGACCUGAAGAUCAAUUCAAUAUAACCCACUACUCAAUUUUCUAAUUAGAGGACAAGUCUAUAUGGAAAGAAACAUAGCAUUAAUAUGUAUGUCAAAGUGUGUGAUUAUCUCAUUUAAACUGUUACUGGGGACACAAUUAUUUUCUUAAUUAUGUUAACACGUCUUUGAUCGUACAAGCCUGAUUCUUUGAAGAGGAAUCCUCAAUGCACUGUUUGUUGUUACUGAUUUAAAAUAAUCAAAUUGCAGACUUGUUUGUUUCUUUCCUUUUUUCUUUUCUGAAUAAUGUCAAGUACUCCUUUCAUAUUGUUUACUCUAGUUUUAGACACCAAUGCAUAUUACCUAAUGGCUAAUAACAUUAAAAAUAAGAAAACAAAAGGCUAUUAAUUUGCCGAUCAGGUGGGCAGGCACAUUAUGAUUUUUUAUUGGUUUUGGAAUUUUGGAUCAGAGUUUGCUGAUCUGUUGUAUUUUGAUAAUUGGUUACCUUGAUUCGAUAAGAUAUGCUUACUGGCUUUUGAAUUUUUUUAAAUUUUUUGGCUUUUGGAAUUUUGGAUCAAGACAUGAACAGACAGGCAAUGGAAAAUGACAUCCAGCGACCAAAAAAAACAAAAAGAACACAUGUCAUAAAUCUAAAUUAAUGGUUGAGAUUUAAUCACUUGAAUCUCUUGUCCAAAUAAGAACUUGGAGAAAUGAAGAGAUGCCAAAUUUAACUAACUUCAACACCAGAAAAUGCUUAUAAAAUAAACUCAAAAGAACAUCCAAAUAUAAGACGAAGAACGACAUUGAAGAGAAAAUUAAGGAAAACAUCAAUAUGGCAAGUUUUGAUAUUCCAACAAUUGAUGUUUCUCCAUUUUUUAAAUCAGAGGAAAAUGAAGAAGGGAAAAAGAAGGCUAUGGAGCAAAUUAAAGAAGCUUGCGUUAACUAUGGUUUCUUUCAGAUUGUGAAUCACGGAAUUCCUUCAGACUUGUUGAGUAGAACCAUCGAUAUGUACAAAACUUUCUUUGCCUGUUCGGAUGAAGAAAAGCUGUCGGUACCUGAUAAUUAUUUAAAAAGCACACCGAAUUCAGCUGAUACUUUUGAGCACUUGUGGUUUCGUUUUCCGUUCUCUGGCUUCAAUAACUGCCGCAGCAUUGCACCUCAUUUCAAGUAAUGUUUCCGCUAUAUUAUCCCUCAAAUUAACUGCUGAUCCUCUGUUAUGGUGUUUCCAAUAAGAACUAACAUUUUAAUUUGCAUGUGAUAUUCUUAGGAAAGUAUUGGAGGAGAUGGUUUCCCAUUUCACAAAAUUAGGAGUUGUGUUGGAAGGAAUCAUAAGUGAGUGUCUUGGACUCCCUCCUGACUUCCUAUCAAACUACAGAAAUGAUCGUUCUCGGGACUCAUUGAUGGGCCUCCACUACUUUCCAGCGACAGAAGAUGACAACACAGGAAAACCUGCACAUGAAGAUCCUGGCUGCUUCACUAUUCUCUACCAGGAUGAAAUCGGAGGCCUUCAGGUGCACAAAGAUGACCAGUGGAUAUCCAUAGCGCCUUCCAAAAACAAACUAGUUGUUAACAUUGGUGAUGUCAUUCAGGCAUUUAUAAUUCCACUCUUGGUUAUAGAUUUCACAUUUACCAUUAUCCCAAAAUUUUAACUUCUUAUGUUGUUGACAUAUAAAAAGGUGCUAAGCAACAAUAAAUUCAAGAGUGCAACUCACAAAGUGGUGAGAUCAAGUGAAACAAACCGUUACUCGUACGUGUUCUUCUAUAAUGUGCACGGAGACAAGUGGGUUGAGCCAUUACCACAAUUUACAAAGGAAAUUGGAGAGUCGCCCAAGUACAGAGGAUUCGUGUUUGAAGAAUAUCAUCAGUUGAGAUUCAGAAACAGGAGUCAUCCACCAGCUAGACCUGAAGAUCUCAUCCAUAUAACACACUACUCAAUUUCUAAUUAGAGGACAAGUUUUAUCUAAUGAAAAGUUCUCUCUAUAUGGAAAGAAACAUACCAAUAAUAUGUAUUACGUCACUC
Molecule: long non-coding RNA, 9412 nt
Filed under: Solanum tuberosum (potato)
Lineage: Eukaryota; Viridiplantae; Streptophyta; Magnoliopsida; Solanales; Solanaceae
Description: long non-coding RNA (STUB_LNC004168)
Source: RNAcentral